Molecule: long non-coding RNA, 308 nt
Filed under: Marmota monax (woodchuck)
Lineage: Eukaryota; Metazoa; Chordata; Mammalia; Rodentia; Sciuridae
Source: RNAcentral
GUUACUAUGUUGACUCACUCAGUGUUAGGAUCACUCACUUUCCCCCUACAGGACUCAGAUCUUGGAGGCAAUUGCUUUCAGAGAAAAACGAAUAGGAAAACUGAAGUGUUAUUUUUUUCAAAGCUGCUGAAGUUUAUUGGUUUCUCAUUCCUAAGCCUACUAGAGCAAUAAAGUUGGGAGAAAUUUUUACCAAGAUUUCUAUCGCUGCUUCGACAAAUACUUCUUUUUCCAAAUGCUUUGGUGGGAAGAAGUAGAGGACUGUUGUAAGUACAAAAUAAUUUUAAAAUAUCUUUAAUUGUAGCAUAAGU